This 201-nucleotide long non-coding RNA is filed under the name Zostera marina. RNAcentral's name for it is "long non-coding RNA (ZMAR_LNC000472)". Lineage: Eukaryota; Viridiplantae; Streptophyta; Magnoliopsida; Alismatales; Zosteraceae. The record is from RNAcentral.
AAAUAAUAGAAAAUAGAAUUUCAGGCCCAGCCCAAUAAUCUAAAACCCCAAGAUACAAAUCUUGAAGUUUUGGGCCUAUGACAUCUGGGCCGGCCUUAUUCUCAAUCAAAGCAAUUAAUGAUGAUAUCAAAUUAAGAUGAAGUUAGUUAAUUAUAGAACUGAAUGAUUAAAAUGAGGUAUCUUGAUUGUCGAAAAACACGU